GGGAUAUUGCACAAACUGCAUGAUUCUCAAUCUUCUGUAAACGCGUGACCAGCGCUAGCGCAUCCAGAAGAAAACUCGGACGUUAGUUCCAACUCUUCGUCAAUCGUCAGCGACUAUCUUACCGCAUCGCACCAACACUCAAAAUGAAAUACAUUUUCGCACUGGUCGCCAUCAUGGCAUGCUUGAUUUCAACUGGUCAUUGUAGCUCGAGCGAUCGUUCAUUGGCAGGCUGUUUAACUGGAUUAAACCGAUGUUCCGAAGCCAUCUCUUGGUUUAGCAACAUUUUCAUGGAGUCUUGUAACGAUUAUUGCGUUAGGGCAGGGUCGAUCGGCGGAGCUUGCGUUCUUCAACCGACCAAUUGCCAACUCAGAUCCGAAGGUGCUACUGUUCGCCAGUGCAAAUGCUACUAAGCAAAUUGACUGAUUAUAUUCUUCUUUAUUCGAUAACAUAUGACUCAUUUAUCUAUGUUUUUUGUACUUUAUGAUGAUCCAAUGACUUUUUAUGAUCUUUGGAAUUUAUUCCUUUGAGUGGUCAGAUUGGAAGACGAAUAAAAAGACUUGAUAUACUUAAAUCAAAUUUCAUACUUUUUUUAAGAUAUCAAGUUUUUUUUAUAAUAACAAUGUACUCUUGUAUUUUGAAUUAUAUAUAUACUGCAGUCAAUACAACUACGCAUCAGACAUA
Molecule: long non-coding RNA, 681 nt
Organism: Daphnia pulex (common water flea)
Lineage: Eukaryota; Metazoa; Arthropoda; Branchiopoda; Diplostraca; Daphniidae
Exons: 3
Source: RefSeq, a predicted model, not a curated record